ACCAAACAGCUAGCCCCACCCCAUAAAACCAAAAAAUCACCAUAAAUAACCCCAAAUACACAACCCAAUACACCAACUAAAUCAUUUUUCCACCCUAGUACGGGAGACAGAAAAG
RNAcentral lists this ribosomal RNA (115 nucleotides) under Channa argus (northern snakehead). Its description in RNAcentral is "partial 16S ribosomal RNA". The record is from RNAcentral. Lineage: Eukaryota; Metazoa; Chordata; Actinopteri; Anabantiformes; Channidae.